AGGAGAGUUUUUUAUAAACACUGAUGCGUAACGACAUUGAGAAGGAGGCUGCAUUAUGUAACCUUGAGGAGGAAAGCUGGAUUUGAGCACGCCGCAAUUAAGCCCGUAUUGUAAAUAACUGCAGGAGAGCUUGUGGGAGCACCCGAGUGCUGGACGCUUCUUCAAAACACAGAUGGAUUUUCCAUUCAUGGUUUACACUUUGGACUGUGCUGCUGAGCCCCUGAGAGAUGGCUGGUGGUCUGGGGCUGAGUGAGGAUAUCACCAGAGGAAUCUAAGGAGGAUGCCUGGGCUGAUCUGAAGGAGUCUGUCCUCAAGAUGGAGAAGUUCAAUAUCGUGUCCUCCUAGCUUAUGUACACCUACAUGUAUAUAUGUGUGUGUAUAUAUAUAUAUACACACACUUAUUUCUCCUCCUCCAGUAAGCAUC
Numida meleagris (helmeted guineafowl) is the source of this 424-nucleotide long non-coding RNA. RefSeq lists it as uncharacterized. The record is from RefSeq and is a predicted model, not a curated record. NCBI's taxonomy places the organism in Eukaryota, Metazoa, Chordata, Aves, Galliformes, Numididae. The transcript has 3 exons.